Molecule: ribosomal RNA, 352 nt
Filed under: Kodamaea ohmeri
Lineage: Eukaryota; Fungi; Ascomycota; Pichiomycetes; Serinales; Debaryomycetaceae
Description: eukaryotic LSU rRNA
Rfam family: 5.8S ribosomal RNA (bases 61-212)
Source: RNAcentral
CUGUUUUUUUACAACUAAACAAAUCUAUCUAAAAAACAAUUCUUUACAAGAAAUUCUUAAAACUUUCAACAACGGAUCUCUUGGUUCUCGCAUCGAUGAAGAACGCAGCGAAAUGCGAUACGUAAUACGAAUCGCAGCUCUCGGAAUCAUCGAAUCUUUGAACGCACAUUGCACCAUUGGGUAUUCCCAAUGGUAUGCUUGUUUGAGCGAAUACUUCCCUAAUCCUCACGGAUUGUAUUGUGUUUGCACGAAAAUAAUGACGACAGUACUCUACAAAACGGUACCGUCAGUACACUCAUUUUUUUUCCUCAAAUCAAGUAGGACUACCCGCUGAACUUAAGCAUAUCAGAAA